RNAcentral lists this ribosomal RNA (213 nucleotides) under Salmonella enterica subsp. enterica serovar Typhi. Its description in RNAcentral is "partial 16S ribosomal RNA". It matches the Rfam family "Bacterial small subunit ribosomal RNA", at positions 100 to 314 of the family's 1533-position model. Lineage: Bacteria; Pseudomonadati; Pseudomonadota; Gammaproteobacteria; Enterobacterales; Enterobacteriaceae. The record is from RNAcentral.
AAUUCGGACGGGUGAGUAAUGUCUGGGAAACUGCCUGAUGGAGGGGGAUAACUACUGGAAACGGUGGCUAAUACCGCAUAACGUCGCAAGACCAAAGAGGGGGACCUUCGGGCCUCUUGCCAUCAGAUGUGCCCAGAUGGGAUUAGCUUGUUGGUGAGGUAACGGCUCACCAAGGCGACGAUCCCUAGCUGGUCUGAGAAGACCGUUUUCACU